UGGAACACGGGCCUCGACUGUUUACCAAAAACAUAGCCCUCGGCUAAUAUGAAAAUAGAUGUAUAGAGGGUGAUGCCUGCCCAAUGGUUGUAUCUAAAAGCGGUUGAUAAAAGUCGACCUCGUAAGGACAAUUGAAUGGCCGCGGUAACACUGACCGUGAUAAUGUAGCGUAAUCAAUAGCCAAUUAAUUGUUGGCCAGUAUGAAUGGCGCCACGAAGGCCCCACUGUCUUAAGGAAAUUCCCAGUGAAAUUGAAUUCGUAGUGAAGAUGCUACGUCCAAUUUGUUAGACGAAAAGACCCCGUUGAGCUUUACUGGAGCACUUACAUGGCCCCGGCCUUCCCAUGCCUGGGAAUCGGCCGAAUUUAAAUGGGCGGCUUAGAUUAUGUGGCAGCCCCCCGCUGGGGCAAAUGAAACACCACUCCCCCAUGUCAAAGGGGCUAACCCCCCCCCCUUGGGGGGGACAGUGUAAGUAGGACAGUUUGGUUGGGGCGACCGCCUUUUAAAAAGUAACGAAGGUGCGCUUAAGGUGCGCAAUUAAUGACUGAAGCCUGACUGCGAGGGGGACACCCCGAGCAGACACCCCAAAGCCCGCCCGAAGGGCGGCGGUGGGGUGGGCCAUAGUGACCCCUUAAUUUAGAGUGGAAUAGUUAACGAUCAACGAAUAAAAG
Molecule: ribosomal RNA, 669 nt
Filed under: Zoanthus gigantus
Lineage: Eukaryota; Metazoa; Cnidaria; Anthozoa; Zoantharia; Zoanthidae
Description: partial 16S ribosomal RNA
Rfam family: Bacterial large subunit ribosomal RNA
Source: RNAcentral